This 447-nucleotide ribosomal RNA is filed under the name uncultured organism. RNAcentral describes it as "partial 16S ribosomal RNA". It matches the Rfam family "Bacterial small subunit ribosomal RNA", at positions 334 to 797 of the family's 1533-position model. The record is from RNAcentral.
CACUCCUGCGGGAGGCAGCAGUGGGGAAUAUUGGACAAUGGGCGCAAGCCUGAUCCAGCCAUGCCGCGUGAGUGAUGAAGGCCCUAGGGUUGUAAAGCCCUUUCACCGGUGAAGAUAAUGACGGUAACCGGAGAAGAAGCCCCGGCUAACUUCGUGCCAGCAGCCGCGGUAAUACGAAGGGGGCUAGCGUUGUUCGGAUUUACUGGGCGUAAAGCGCACGUAGGCGGACUAUUAAGUCAGGGGUGAAAUCCCGGGGCUCAACCCCGGAACUGCCUUUGAUACUGGUAGUCUUGAGUUCGAGAGAGGUGAGUGGAAUUCCGAGUGUAGAGGUGAAAUUCGCAGAUAUUCGGAGGAACACCAGUGGCGAAGGCGGCUCACUGGCUCGAUACUGACGCUGAGGUGCGAAAGCGUGGGGAGCAAACAGGAUUAGAAACCCUAGUAGUCCCA